This is a non-coding RNA of Peromyscus maniculatus bairdii (prairie deer mouse), 498 nucleotides long. NCBI's taxonomy places the organism in Eukaryota, Metazoa, Chordata, Mammalia, Rodentia, Cricetidae. The record is from RefSeq and is a predicted model, not a curated record.
UCUUAUUUGGCAAUGGCUCUUCUAAAGCUGGGAUUCAGUGAGUUCUGUUGCUAUGGAAUUGUAACACUUGUUGCUAGGGAGCUGUAACAUUCUCAGGACAAAUACCACUCCUCACAGUCACUUUUCUCACCGCUGACCUCUCAGCCAUCCCAGAACUGGAAGAAAUGUGCUCUCAGCAGUAAACGGUUUCUAACUAGAGGCUGUCCCUUUACAGAAAUUCAUAACAGCUCCCCUAGCUGGUGAGAUGGCUCCACAGCAAAGGUGCUGCCAUGGCGACGAUGGCCUGGGUUUCAUCAUCUGGUCCCACAUGGCGUAAGGAAAAACGACUCUCACAGCUUCUCUCCCUCCAUGCCUGUGCCUCCAGCUCUUGAGGAUCCAAAGCCCUCUUCUGGACUCCAUGGCCUCUUCGUCAGCUCCCGCCUCCAGUUCCUGUCCUGACUUCAUUUGAUGAUGAACUGUGAUCUGAAGUGUAAGCUGAAUAAACCCUUUCCUCCCCAA